This is a non-coding RNA of Acanthosepion pharaonis, 95 nucleotides long. NCBI's taxonomy places the organism in Eukaryota, Metazoa, Mollusca, Cephalopoda, Sepiida, Sepiidae. The record is from the annotation of a GenBank genome assembly.
CAAACGCCGAUUCUCGUACGAUCACCGAAGUUAAGCAACGUCGAGCCUAGCAAGUACCUACAUGGGUGACCGCUUGGAAAUAUCAGAUGAUGCAA